RNAcentral lists this long non-coding RNA (2495 nucleotides) under Homo sapiens (human). Its description in RNAcentral is "non-protein coding FAM99B:4". The record is from RNAcentral. Lineage: Eukaryota; Metazoa; Chordata; Mammalia; Primates; Hominidae.
CUACCCCCGCAUCUCCGUCAACAACGUGCUGCCCGUCUUCGACAACCUGAUGCAGCAGAAGCUGGUGGACCAGAACAUCUUCUCCUUCUACCUGAGCAGGUGGGCGUGUGGGUUCCCUCUCGCUCCGCGUUGCUGGGAGGCAGGGCGGGGCUGGACGGGGAGCCUUCUAGGCACCCCCUCUCAGUGCUGCCCCCUCCCUGCUGCUGUGCCAGAGCUCCUGACCUCUGACCUCAGGGCAUCCGGGAGGCGGGGGUUGGCCGCCCUUCUGCAGAGGAGUAAGCGGCAGCACAGAGAAAGCUGUUUGGCCGGGGUCUCCCAGUGGGAGGGGCUCGGGCCAGGCUGUGGGUCCUGGGACCUUGGCAGCUGGGCCUCCCUCCUAUGAGAAUGGACCCAGGUCAGGGGUCGUGGCAGUUCCUCUUGGUUCAGUCGGCCCGUCGGUCCCCAGACCUGGUGAUGGGCACAUGUGGUCCUGGUCCCGGGGUUGCUGAUGGUGGAGAGGGUCAUGGUGCCCAGGGGACCGGGGAUCCCCGGGGAGGGGAAAGGGAAGGAGCAGGAUGCCCACCUGGCUGUGGCUGUCUUACCCCAUGGAAUCCAGGCUCCAACUGACCUCACCAUUCUGUGGGUUAAUUUUCAUUCUUAAAACCUUCAUCUAAAGACCUUUGCUUCCUGGAAUACAGGCCUGGGUUUUCCCAACAGUCGUGGGCACCCGGCCUGGCACGUGCUGCUCAGUGGAGGGACCUCACAGCCCGUUCUAUGUGAGCCGUGCAGGAAAAGCUCCACGGACAAACUCACUCUCCGUGACAAUCAGGAGGUUUCUUCUCCAACCACCAGAAGGAGCUGGGGGAGCUCAUGAGGCCAGGAAGAGAACAGUCCUAAUCCCAUCCUUCCCCUCCUCAGCAGUGACCCCAGGGUCUGCUGUCCUGCCCCAACCCGCACUUCAAAGAAGGAAGGACACCUGCCUUCCCCUGCUACCUCACACCCCGAAGCAUGGGGAGCAUGGGGACCCUCGGCAGAGUCCUUUUGUAGUGAAGAAUAACAGACUAGUGUAAAAUAGCAGAAAAGAAGCUAAUGGCCAAACACAUCCAAGCUGGGGAAAACACCUGUUAAAUAUAAUGACAGAAUAUGCUCUCAUCAAAACCCAGGAAACUUUAAGAAUACACUAAACCUCACAAAAUGGGGGCGAAAUACAAUGAUGACCACACGUAUGAGAAAUGGUCAAUGGUAGAAUUGAAAGAAAUGCAAGGGAAAUAAAAGCCACAGCCCACGAAUGCAGGUGCAGCCACAGAAGCGCUGGCAGAGGGGAGGCUGAGAGUGGCGCUGGUUGAAGAUUUCUCACAGGAAACAAAAGGCACAGCCUCCACGUGGCUCAUGGCCAUGAAAACCCUUGACUCAAACCAUUCCACGUCGUGAGGAAGACGCGGGUCAGCUGCCCUAGUUGGGUGAUGAUGAUGCUGUCAGGGAAAGCGUCGGUGCCUAUGUGGGGAGAGUAGGGGAGUGAGAAACAAAAGCAAAGCGUGGUGGCUCUGUGGCUCCGGUGCCCCGGAGGCCAUGGCUCACUUUUUCACAAUGAACAUGGGCUAUUUUCAUUUUUUAAAGUCUGCUAAUGUUUCUAAGGAGACCAUACAGAACCGAAAAUUCUGAAUAACCUUGUCUUCCAUAAGGCAGACUUUUCAUUUCUGUCAUCUUUCCGGAAGGGCUGGACACAGAGACUGUGGGUCUGUGAUGGAGGUGCCACCAUCUCACCCCGAGUCCACGGCCCUCAGUCUCUGUGCUCCCCGAGCCGAAGGUGAGGAAUCCAUGCCUUAUGGUUGGCGAGGGCUGCUGGGGCACCUGCCAUCUCAUCUGCAUCCUGGGAAGCAGGAAGGAGCACAGAGGAAAACACAAGCCUGCUCUGGCCAGCUCAGUGUGCUCCUUCCAGAAACAGAAGCCAGGGCCAUGCCAUUGAACUUCUCAGCCAGCAGAACUGUGAGCUUGAUGAAUUACCCCAUCACAGAGGUUCUUUUAUGGCUACACAGAAUGGACUCAGACACCCAUGCUCACAGCCGUGCAGUCACAAUAGCCCAAAGGUGGAAACAACCCAGCAGAACACACUAGAGGGUCCCGGCAUCCUGAUGAGUCCACUGUCCCCGCGAUGGUUUUCAGGGAUGGAGAAGGCUCCCUGUCCUCCGCUGGAACCCUGCAGCCGGGCUGACGGUACCCCCACCACCCACCCAGGGGCCCCCAGACCCUCCCCAUCUCCACCGCCAACCCAGGCCCCGGCUGCGCACGCGGGGCCAGGCCGUGAGCUGCUGUCCCCGGAUGGGGCCGCCCCGGGCUGGCCUGGCUCACUCCGUGUCACAGAUAUUCCCACAGAGACCCCAGCGAGACCUGCAGAACAUUACAGCAGAAUGAAGGAGAGCCAGAGGAAGAGGCAGAUGUGCUGGCCUGUAAACAGUCUGAUUUCCAAUGUAAACCAGAUUCAGGCCCACGACAUCAGGAUGUGGGAAUUUGUGUAC